This 74-nucleotide transfer RNA is filed under the name Vicugna pacos (alpaca). Its description in RNAcentral is "tRNA-Und (NNN) (tRNA-Und-NNN-21-1)". It matches the Rfam family "tRNA". Rfam says of the family: Transfer RNA (tRNA) molecules are approximately 80 nucleotides in length. Their secondary structure includes four short double-helical elements and three loops (D, anti-codon, and T loops). Lineage: Eukaryota; Metazoa; Chordata; Mammalia; Artiodactyla; Camelidae. The record is from RNAcentral.
GGAGGGUAAUAGCUUAGUGGUAGAGCACGUGCUUAGAAUACAUGAGGUCCUGGGUUCAAUCCCCAGUACCUCCU